UUUUUAGUACAAGUAUGUCUCAAGCAAUAUUUGGAGUGUAGUUACUCUAAAA
Molecule: microRNA precursor, 52 nt
Filed under: Marmota monax (woodchuck)
Lineage: Eukaryota; Metazoa; Chordata; Mammalia; Rodentia; Sciuridae
Source: RNAcentral